GAUGAACGCUGGCGGCGUGCCUAAUACAUGCAAGUCGAGCGAACGGACGAGAAGCUUGCUCCUCUGAUGUUAGCGGCGGACGGGUGAGUAACACGUGGAUAACCUACCUAUAAGACUGGGAUAACUUCGGGAAACCGGAGCUAAUACCGGAUAAUAUUUUGAACCGCAUGGUUCAAAAGUGAAAGACGGUCUUGCUGUCACUUAUAGAUGGAUCCGCGCUGCAUUAGCUAGUUGGUAAGGUAACCGCUUACCAAGGCAACGAUGCAUAGCCGACCUGAGAGGGUGAUCGGCCACACUGGAACUGAGACACGGUCCAGACUCCUACGGGAGGCAGCAGUAGGGAAUCUUCCGCAAAGGGCGAAAGCCUGACGGAGCAACGCCGCGUGAGUGAUGAAGGUCUUCGGAUCGUAAAACUCUGUUAUUAGGGAAGAACAUAUGUGUAAGUAACUGUGCACAUCUUGACGGUACCUAAUCAGAAAGCCACGGCUAACUACGUG
This 497-nucleotide ribosomal RNA is filed under the name uncultured bacterium. RNAcentral describes it as "partial 16S ribosomal RNA". It matches the Rfam family "Bacterial small subunit ribosomal RNA", at positions 28 to 507 of the family's 1533-position model. The record is from RNAcentral.